CUUUACUACAGCUUUGCACUGGACUUCGAGUUUGUUUGUGUAGGAUAGGUGGGAGGCGCUGAAGCCAGGACGCCAGUUCUGGUGGAGCCGUCCUUGAAAUACCACCCUGACACGCUUGGAGUUCUAACCUAGGUCCGUAAUCCGGAUCGGGGACAGUGUAUGGUGGGUAGUUUGACUGGGGCGGUCUCCUCCGAAAGAGUAACGGAGGAGCACAAAGGUACCCUCAGCGCGGUCGGACAUCGCGCAAUGAGUGCAAAGGCAUAAGGGUGCUUGACUGCGAGACAGACACGUCGAGCAGGGGCGAAAGCCGGUCUUAGUGAUCCGGUGGUUCUGUAUGGAAGGGCCAUCGCUCAACGGAUAAAAGGUA
This 367-nucleotide ribosomal RNA is filed under the name uncultured organism. RNAcentral describes it as "bacterial LSU rRNA". It matches the Rfam family "Bacterial large subunit ribosomal RNA", at positions 2099 to 2465 of the family's 2925-position model. The record is from RNAcentral.